This 692-nucleotide ribosomal RNA is filed under the name Kocuria sp. Its description in RNAcentral is "bacterial SSU rRNA". It matches the Rfam family "Bacterial small subunit ribosomal RNA", at positions 102 to 806 of the family's 1533-position model. Lineage: Bacteria; Bacillati; Actinomycetota; Actinomycetes; Micrococcales; Micrococcaceae. The record is from RNAcentral.
ACGGGUGAGUAAUACGUGAGUAACCUGCCCUUGACUCUGGGAUAAGCCUGGGAAACUGGGUCUAAUACUGGAUACUACCGCUUGCCGCAUGGUGGGUGGUGGAAAGGGUUUUACUGGUUUUGGAUGGGCUCACGGCCUAUCAGCUUGUUGGUGGGGUAAUGGCUCACCAAGGCGACGACGGGUAGCCGGCCUGAGAGGGUGACCGGCCACACUGGGACUGAGACACGGCCCAGACUCCUACGGGAGGCAGCAGUGGGGAAUAUUGCACAAUGGGCGGAAGCCUGAUGCAGCGACGCCGCGUGAGGGAUGACGGCCUUCGGGUUGUAAACCUCUUUCAGUAGGGAAGAAGCGAGAGUGACGGUACCUGCAGAAGAAGCGCCGGCUAACUACGUGCCAGCAGCCGCGGUAAUACGUAGGGCGCAAGCGUUGUCCGGAAUUAUUGGGCGUAAAGAGCUCGUAGGCGGUUUGUCGCGUCUGCUGUGAAAGCCCGGGGCUCAACCCCGGGUCUGCAGUGGGUACGGGCAGACUAGAGUGCAGUAGGGGAGACUGGAAUUCCUGGUGUAGCGGUGAAAUGCGCAGAUAUCAGGAGGAACACCGAUGGCGAAGGCAGGUCUCUGGGCUGUUACUGACGCUGAGGAGCGAAAGCAUGGGGAGCGAACAGGAUUAGAUACCCUGGUAGUCCAUGCCGUAAA